CGCGUAGGCGGGUGUUUAAGUCAGAGGUCAAAUCCCGGGGCUCAACCUCGGAACUGCCUUUGAUACUGGGCACCUAGAGUGCGGGAGAGGUGUGUGGAACUCCGAGUGUAGAGGUGAAAUUCGUAGAUAUUCGGAAGAACACCAGUGGCGAAGGCGACACACUGGCCCGUUACUGACGCUGAGGCGCGAAAGCGUGGGGAGCAAACAGGAUUAGAUACCCUGGUAGUCCACGCCGUAAACGAUGAGUGCUAGUUGUCGGCAUGCAUGCAUGUCGGUGACGCGGCUAACGCAUUAAGCACUCCGCCUGGGGAGUACGGUCGCAAGAUUAAA
This 330-nucleotide ribosomal RNA is filed under the name uncultured bacterium. RNAcentral's name for it is "bacterial SSU rRNA". It matches the Rfam family "Bacterial small subunit ribosomal RNA", at positions 568 to 898 of the family's 1533-position model. The record is from RNAcentral.